GUGACUGUAGCUCAGUUGGUUAGAGCACCGCGUUGUGGUCGCGGGGGUCGGGGGUUCGAAUCCCCUCAGUCACCC
RNAcentral lists this transfer RNA (75 nucleotides) under Poriferisphaera corsica. RNAcentral describes it as "Planctomycetes bacterium KS4 tRNA-His". It matches the Rfam family "tRNA". From Rfam's summary of the family: Transfer RNA (tRNA) molecules are approximately 80 nucleotides in length. Their secondary structure includes four short double-helical elements and three loops (D, anti-codon, and T loops). Further hydrogen bonds mediate the characteristic L-shaped molecular structure. tRNAs have two regions of fundamental functional importance: the anti-codon, which is responsible for specific mRNA codon recognition, and the 3' end, to which the tRNAs corresponding amino acid is attached (by aminoacyl-tRNA synthetases). tRNAs cope with the degeneracy of the genetic code in two manners: having more than one tRNA (with a specific anti-codon) for a particular amino acid; and 'wobble' base-pairing, i.e. permitting non-standard base-pairing at the 3rd anti-codon position. Lineage: Bacteria; Pseudomonadati; Planctomycetota; Phycisphaerae; Phycisphaerales; Phycisphaeraceae. The record is from RNAcentral.